CCUACGGGUGGCAGCAGUGAGGAAUAUUGGUCAAUGGACGGAAGUCUGAACCAGCCAUGCCGCGUGCAGGACGACGGCUCUAUGAGUUGUAAACUGCUUUUGUACAAGGGUAAACCUGAAUACGUGUAUUCAGCUGAAAGUCCUGUACGAAUAAGGAUCGGCUAACUCCGUUCCAGCAGCCGCGGGAAUACGUAGGGGGCAAGCGUUAUCCGGAAUUACUGUGUGUAAAGGGAGCGUAGACGGUGAUGUAAGUCUGGAGUUAAAGGCGGGGGCCCAACCCCCGGACUGCUCUGGACACUAAGUGACGUGAGUGCAGUAGAGGGGAGCGGAAUGCCGAGUGUAGCGGUGAAAUGCGUAGAUAUUAGGAGGAACACCAGUGGCGAAGGCGGCUCACUGGACUGUAACUGACGUUGAGGCUCGAAAGCGUGGGGAGCAAACAGGAUUAGAUACCCCUGUAGUC
This 460-nucleotide ribosomal RNA is filed under the name uncultured bacterium. RNAcentral describes it as "partial 16S ribosomal RNA". It matches the Rfam family "Bacterial small subunit ribosomal RNA", at positions 338 to 795 of the family's 1533-position model. The record is from RNAcentral.